GUGGGGAGCAAACAGGAUUAGAUACCUGGUAGUCCACGCUGUAAACGAUGUCGAUUUGGAGGUUGUUCCCUUGAGGAGUGGCUUCCGGAGCUAACGCGUUAAAUCGACCGCUGGGGAGUACGGCCGCAAGGUUAAAACUCAAAUGAAUUGACGGGGGCCCGCACAAGCGGUGGAGCAUGUGGUUUAAUUCGAUGCAACGCGAAGAACCUUACCUACUCUUGACAUCCAGAGAAUUUAGCAGAGAUGCUUUAGUGCCUUCGGGAACUCUGAGACAGGUGCUGCAUGGCUGUCGUCAGCUCGUGUUGUGAAAUGUUGGGUUAAGUCCCGCAACGAGCGCAACCCUUAUCCUUUGUUGCCAGCACAUUAUGGUGGGAACUCAAAGGAGACUGCCGGUGAUAAACCGGAGGAAGGUGGGGAUGACGUCAAGUCAUCAUGGCCCUUACGAGUAGGGCUACACACGUGCUACAAUGGCGUAUACAAAGAGAAGCGACCUCGCGAGAGCAAGCGGAACUCAUAAAGUACGUCGUAGUCCGGAUUGGAGUCUGCAACUCGACUCCAUGAAGUCGGAAUCGCUAGUAAUCGUAGACCAGAAUGCUACGGUGAAUACGUUCCCGGGCCUUGUACACACCGCCCGUCACACCAUGGGAGUGGGUUGCAAAAGAAGUAGGUAGCUUAACCUUCGGGAGGGCGCUUACCACUUUGUGAUUCAUGACUGGGGUGAAGUCGUAACAAGGUAACCA
RNAcentral lists this ribosomal RNA (740 nucleotides) under uncultured Providencia sp. RNAcentral's name for it is "bacterial SSU rRNA". It matches the Rfam family "Bacterial small subunit ribosomal RNA", at positions 761 to 1502 of the family's 1533-position model. The record is from RNAcentral. Lineage: Bacteria; Pseudomonadati; Pseudomonadota; Gammaproteobacteria; Enterobacterales; Morganellaceae.